UACGUUAAGUGAAUAAUCCCG
RNAcentral lists this non-coding RNA (21 nucleotides) under Caenorhabditis elegans. The record is from RNAcentral. Lineage: Eukaryota; Metazoa; Nematoda; Chromadorea; Rhabditida; Rhabditidae.